GCUCCUGCUCUGUCCCCUCCUCCUCUCUCCUCCCCCCUUUCUCUUUGCAUGCUCAUGGCUGGCCUCUACUUCUCUCUCUCUCUCUCUCUCUCUCUCUCUCUCUCUCUCUCUCUCUCUCUCUCUCUCUCUCUCUCUCUCUCUCUCUCUCCCCCCCACCCCACCCCAUACUCUGUCUCUACUACCCUCUCAAUUCCCCUCCCCAUGUCCUGAGUAAACUAUUUUAUACUGUGCUAUGGUGAGGCUGGUCCCUCAGCAGGAAGGGAUGUCUCACCAUUGGCCCUUGGAGGCACCCCUUCUCCCACACCUUACUGCACCUCCACCAAACAUAUUCCUUCUCUCCUUAUCUUUAUAUAAAACACAACACUGGACGUGCCUGCUCUUCCUACCUUAGAAAGAUUAUUCCUGUUUUUUGUUGGUAACUGGCAUGUCCAGGUCACAGACAUCUGUGUUUGCUACUUCACAAAUCUGUCUUUCUUCAUCACAGUUCCUGGAAAGUGACCUGAGUAGAAGAGAGAGCCCAUAUGGGGGAAGGAAAAAGAAACAGAGAAGAGCUCCUCCGAGGACCACACCUCAGGGGCUGAACUUCCUCAGAGUCUUGCUGCUGCUAAGAUCCAGGGAAUAUCUUGCCUUCCAGCCCUCCAGCCCAUGGAGGAAGGCCCUGCAAUGACAGAGCCCCUGGGGAAAGAAUGCCAGGUGCAUCCAGGAACUGGCAGACACAGAGCUCCUGAUGGUCCCAGGGCUUCACUUAGCAUGGUUCCUGUUGCUAAGCAAUGGAAGUGCUGGACCUGUCAUCUAUCAUCUGCUGUCCAGCACUCCAGGGAUGCCCUGUGAAGUUCAAAUCUUCCAUGAACCAUCUCUCUCCCAAAGGCGUCUGGUCCACAGAAGGAAGCCAGGUCUCCCGGAUGACUGCAUCGUUGUUCCAUGGAGCUUUUAAAAUGCAAGUGUCCUGAAUGGCAGUGGUGCCAGGUGACAGCUGUGGGCACACCUCAUCCUGAAGCGCUGUAGGAACUGACACCAGUGAAUGCCAGAUAUGGGGAAAGGUGUCUGCCCAGUUAUCUCCUAGCUAGUUGAGCCUUCUAUAAAGAAUGUUAUUAAAAAGUCUGCAAGAGGCUGCACGGUGGGUUUCUUCCCUCUUUCCAGAGGAGAGGGUGGUUGAGGAGGAAACAUGCUUUGUCCACAUUCCUUUGUGUAUGGUGGGACUAUCACCGGUGAUGGAGGACCUGUGAGUACUUGGAACCUUAUCGGCCCUCAAACUUCAAUUGGCCCUUGCAUGUCAAUAGCAAGAAUGGUUAUUUCCUGGGGUUGGGGAUUUAGCUCAGUGGUAGAGCGCUUGCCUAGCAAGCGCAAGGCCCUGGGUUCGGUCCCCAGCUCCGAGAAAAAAAAGAAAAAAGAAAAGAAAAGAAUGGUUAUUUCCACUUUUCCACUCCUUGGCUCAGAGUUUCACUUUUCAAGUAGACAGUUGCACGGAGCCAUAUUGGAUUUGGGCCUAGCCGCUUUUUGACUGCAUGGUUCAAAGUGACUCUGGGCUGUUUGGCCACAGAGACUCACCCCGAAGAUGACUGCCAUAAAUCUUAAGAUUGUUGGAUAAAGCCUCUCCCAUGAAUUUACGGCACAGGAGUAUAACAUUCAAGGGAUGCCUCAGCUCCCUUCAGCAGAUACCUUCCCUCAGCAGAUACCAGUUAUCUCCUCAGUCAACACCCAGUGUCUCCACCACCUGACCUCAUCGCCUGACUUCUUUGCCUCCAGCUAUCACUGCCUAUACCCUCAUCUCCCCCUCCUUCAUAUUUCACAAAGGUCACUCCCCCUACCUGAAAGCCUUAAAAGCUGCAAUGUUCAUCCCAAUAAACGAGACCUUGACAACAGAA
Molecule: long non-coding RNA, 1865 nt
Organism: Rattus norvegicus (Norway rat)
Lineage: Eukaryota; Metazoa; Chordata; Mammalia; Rodentia; Muridae
Source: RefSeq, a predicted model, not a curated record